Molecule: ribosomal RNA, 1269 nt
Filed under: Niallia circulans
Lineage: Bacteria; Bacillati; Bacillota; Bacilli; Caryophanales; Bacillaceae
Description: bacterial SSU rRNA
Rfam family: Bacterial small subunit ribosomal RNA
Source: RNAcentral
ACGUGGGCAACCUGCCUGUAAGACUGGGAUAACUUCGGGAAACCGGAGCUAAUACCGGAUAAUCCUUUUCUACACAUGUAGAAAAGCUGAAAGACGGUUUACGCUGUCACUUACAGAUGGGCCCGCGGCGCAUUAGCUAGUUGGUGAGGUAACGGCUCACCAAGGCAACGAUGCGUAGCCGACCUGAGAGGGUGAUCGGCCACACUGGGACUGAGACACGGCCCAACUCCUACGGGAGGCAGCAGUAGGGAAUCUUCCGCAAUGGACGAAAGUCUGACGGAGCAACGCCGCGUGAGUGAUGAAGGUUUUCGGAUCGUAAAACUCUGUUGUUAGGGAAGAACAAGUACAAGAGUAACUGCUUGUACCUUGACGGUACCUAACCAGAAAGCCACGGCUAACUACGUGCCAGCAGCCGCGGUAAUACGUAGGUGGCAAGCGUUGUCCGGAAUUAUUGGGCGUAAAGCGCGCGCAGGCGGUCCUUUAAGUCUGAUGUGAAAGCCCACGGCUCAACCGUGGAGGGUCAUUGGAAACUGGGGGACUUGAGUGCAGAAGAGAAGAGUGGAAUUCCACGUGUAGCGGUGAAAUGCGUAGAGAUGUGGAGGAACACCAGUGGCGAAGGCGACUCUUUGGUCUGUAACUGACGCUGAGGCGCGAAAGCGUGGGGAGCAAACAGGAUUAGAUACCCUGGUAGUCCACGCCGUAAACGAUGAGUGCUAAGUGUUAGAGGGUUUCCGCCCUUUAGUGCUGCAGCAAACGCAUUAAGCACUCCGCCUGGGGAGUACGGCCGCAAGGCUGAAACUCAAAGGAAUUGACGGGGGCCCGCACAAGCGGUGGAGCAUGUGGUUUAAUUCGAAGCAACGCGAAGAACCUUACCAGGUCUUGACAUCCUCUGACACUCCUAGAGAUAGGACGUUCCCCUUCGGGGGACAGAGUGACAGGUGGUGCAUGGUUGUCGUCAGCUCGUGUCGUGAGAUGUUGGGUUAAGUCCCGCAACGAGCGCAACCCUUGAUCUUAGUUGCCAGCAUUAGUUGGGCACUCUAAGGUGACUGCCGGUGACAAACCGGAGGAAGGUGGGGAUGACGUCAAAUCAUCAUGCCCCUAUGACCUGGGCUACACACGUGCUACAAUGGAUGGUCAAAGGGAGCAAAGCGGUGACGCCUAGCAAAUCCCAUAAAACCAUUUCAGUUCGGAUUGUAGGCUGCAACUCGCCUACAUGAAGCUGGAAUCGCUAGUAAUGCGGAUCAGCAUGCCGGGUGAAUCGUUCCCGGC